GAUGAAGAACGUAGCGAACUGCGAUAAGUAAUGUGAAUUGCAGAAUUCAGUGAAUCAUCGAAUCUUUGAACGCACAUUGCGCCCGCCAGUAUUCUGGCGGGCAUGCCUGUUCGAGCGUCAUUACAACCCUCAGGCCCCCGGGCCUGGCGUUGGGGAUCGGCGGAGCCCCCCGUGGGCACACGCCGUCCCCCAAAUGCAGUGGCGGUCCCGCCGCAGCUUCCAUCGCGUAGUAGCUAACACCUCGCGACUGGAGAGCGGCGCGGCCACGCCGUAAAACACCCAACUCUUCUGAAGUUGACCUCGAAUCAGGUAGGAAUACCCGCUGAACUUAAGCAUAUCAAUAAGCGGAGGA
This 352-nucleotide unclassified non-coding RNA is filed under the name soil metagenome. RNAcentral describes it as "partial contains 5.8S ribosomal RNA, internal transcribed spacer 2, and large subunit ribosomal RNA". The stretch from base 1 to 120 matches the Rfam family "5.8S ribosomal RNA", at positions 35 to 154 of the family's 154-position model. The record is from RNAcentral.